RNAcentral lists this ribosomal RNA (1092 nucleotides) under uncultured eukaryote. Its description in RNAcentral is "bacterial SSU rRNA". It matches the Rfam family "Eukaryotic small subunit ribosomal RNA", at positions 347 to 1473 of the family's 1831-position model. The record is from RNAcentral.
UGGAGAGGGCGCCUGACAACAGGUCCGUUAUGCCCAACAGGUCAGUUAUGCCCAUCGGGUCCGUUAUGGAGAGGGGGCCUGAGGUGGAGAGGGGGCCUGAGAGAUGGCUACCACUUCCAAGGAAGACAGCAGGCGCGCAAAUUACCCAAUCCCGAAGCGGGGAGGUAGUGACAGGACAUGACGGGGCGGGGCGCUUAGCGCUCUGCGACUGGGUUGAGGAAAAGAUAAAGCGAUUGACGAGAAACGAUUGGAGGGCAAGUCUGGUGCCAGCAGCCGCGGUAAUUCCAGCUCCAAUGGUAUAUAUUAAAGUUGUUGCAGUUGAAAGGCUCGUAGUCGGAAGGCGGGGCGGUGGAUCCGGGUGGUAGGAAACUACGUACUUGGUCUGGCGCCCUUCGGGGGGCGAGGGGUAAUAGCCGGGCCCCCCCGGUUACUGUGAGGAAAUUAGAGUGUUCAAGGCAGGCGUGUGCUUGGAUAGGUUAGCAUGGAAUAACGGGAUGGUCCGUUGGUUGGAGCGUAGGUUGAUAGGGACAGUUGGGGGCAUUGGUAUUUGGCAGUCAGAGGUGAAAUUCUAGGAUUUGCCAAAGACGGACGGGGGCGAAAGCAUUUGCCAAGGAUGUUUUCAUUGAUCAAGAACGAAAGUUGGGGGAUCGAAGACGAUUAGAUACCGUCGUAGUCUCGACAGUAAACGAUGCCGGCGGGCCGCGGGGGGGCCGAGGGAGGCGCUUCCGUGCCCUGGAGAAAUCAGAGCGUGUGGGUUCUGGGGGGAGUAUGGUCGCAAGGCAGAAACUUGAAGGAAUUGACGGAAGGGCACCACCAGGAGUGGAGCCUGCGGCUUAAUUUGACUCAACACGGGGAAACUCACCAGGUCCGGACAUGGGAAGGAUUGACAGACUGAGAGCUCUUCCGUGAUUCUGUGGGAGGUGGUGCAUGGCCGUUGUUGGUUGGCGGAGUGAUUUGUCAGGUUUAUUCCGGUAACGGGCGAGACGGGGGGUGGGGGAAACUAUUAUCGUAGGCAUCUGCGAUAGUGGGCCACCGCGACACGCGGCGCCAAGCCGCGGGAAGCACCCCGCAAUAACAGGUCCGUUAUGCCCA